AAGAUCUUUGUCUUUCUUUAUUCAUGCAUCAACAAUAUGUUUGAUGUUGGUGAAGGGUAGUAAAGGUUUUACUGCUGAGUCACAUUCAUAAAAGAGACAUAAAUGGUGUUAUGUCACAAAAUUUAAUGUCACAUAAAAUAUAUUUUAAUAUAUGAUAUAUGUCUUGCUGGUUGGGUCUUAAAUACUUGAAAUUAAUUAAGAAAGAGUUCUACGGAUUCUUCAAAGUAAUGUAUUAAUUUAGAAAAAGUGAUGCAUUAAAAGACAUAAUAUUUAUUGUUGAUGAAAUGAAUAGUAGUAUAAGAAAAGGGUGCUGACCAUGGUGGUGAGAGAAUAUUUCAAGAUACUCAUUAUUAUUAGUAUUGUAUUUAAUGCGCUUUUGUGGGCAUACAUAAGCAAUAUGUUUUCUAAAGAGAAAUGAUAGAUAGGUACAAAGAUUUUUUUUUUUGUUGAAGCAGAUAGGUACAAAGAUCAUGAUGUCUCUAAUAAGAUUGUUAGGUGGUCCAAGGGUGGUAAAACGGACCCAAUUCAUCGGAUAUAUCUGGAUAACCCGUUAUUUUUGACGGAUUGAGUUGAAGUUUUGAACUCACUUUUUAUAGUUGGUUCGUCUCGCUUAACUCAUUGAAAAAAUGGGGUGGGGACAGAGCGGAUAGGAUAGUCUGCUUAACUCGUUUUCUUUUGUUUUAGAUAUAUUUUAUUCCUUUGAAUUUAUUUUGGUUGUUAGAUUUAUUUUAAUAUUUGUUUUAAUGUUGCAGAUUUGUUUUAUGUUGGUGUUAGUCAAUAUUUCAAAAGGGUAUCAUUUAAUGUGGUCAAAGGAGCUGACCUUAUGGAAAGGGCUUGACCUUACAUCUCUGUCGAAGUUGCGCUCCUUGGAAGAGAAUCGAAGACGCGCGCCUCCGUUCGAUGGGCGAAGGGAUCUCGAAAAGCGGUUAUUUUUUGGAUAAGGUCAAGUGCUCAAACUACUAUAUUCGAUAUUUAAAUCGUAUGGCUAAGAUUAGGUAGUUUUCUGCAGUUAUAGUUUUAAAUUCAAACUAGGUAGUUAUCCUCUAUUUGUAUAAAUAGUAGUUUUUCUUAGGAAAAAAGUGUCACAAUUCAAUCAUACUAAAAACAUAUGCUCAAACUAUCCGUAUGAAAGCGAUAAACGAGUCACAAGUUGCAAUGUAUGAAUAUGUGUACCAAGUUAC
RNAcentral lists this long non-coding RNA (1181 nucleotides) under Medicago truncatula (barrel medic). RNAcentral's name for it is "long non-coding RNA (MTRU_LNC008472)". The record is from RNAcentral. Lineage: Eukaryota; Viridiplantae; Streptophyta; Magnoliopsida; Fabales; Fabaceae.